Molecule: ribosomal RNA, 1131 nt
Filed under: Rhodococcus wratislaviensis
Lineage: Bacteria; Bacillati; Actinomycetota; Actinomycetes; Mycobacteriales; Nocardiaceae
Description: bacterial SSU rRNA
Rfam family: Bacterial small subunit ribosomal RNA
Source: RNAcentral
GUCUUAGGUACGCUUACCAUGCAGUCGAGCGGUAAGGCCCUUCGGGGUACACGAGCGGCGAACGGGUGAGUAACACGUGGGUGAUCUGCCCUGCACUUCGGGAUAAGCCUGGGAAACUGGGUCUAAUACCGGAUAUGACCUUCGGCUGCAUGGCUGAGGGUGGAAAGGUUUACUGGUGCAGGAUGGGCCCGCGGCCUAUCAGCUUGUUGGUGGGGUAAUGGCCUACCAAGGCGACGACGGGUAGCCGACCUGAGAGGGUGACCGGCCACACUGGGACUGAGACACGGCCCAGACUCCUACGGGAGGCAGCAGUGGGGAAUAUUGCACAAUGGGCGAAAGCCUGAUGCAGCGACGCCGCGUGAGGGAUGACGGCCUUCGGGUUGUAAACCUCUUUCAGCAGGGACGAAGCGAAAGUGACGGUACCUGCAGAAGAAGCACCGGCCAACUACGUGCCAGCAGCCGCGGUAAUACGUAGGGUGCAAGCGUUGUCCGGAAUUACUGGGCGUAAAGAGCUCGUAGGCGGUUUGUCGCGUCGUCUGUGAAAACUCGAGGCUCAACCUCGAGCUUGCAGGCGAUACGGGCAGACUUGAGUACUGCAGGGGAGACUGGAAUUCCUGGUGUAGCGGUGAAAUGCGCAGAUAUCAGGAGGAACACCGGUGGCGAAGGCGGGUCUCUGGGCAGUAACUGACGCUGAGGAGCGAAAGCGUGGGUAGCGAACAGGAUUAGAUACCCUGGUAGUCCACGCCGUAAACGGUGGGCGCUAGGUGUGGGUUUCCUUCCACGGGAUCCGUGCCGUAGCUAACGCAUUAAGCGCCCCGCCUGGGGGAGUACGGCCGCAAGGCUAAAACUCAAGGAAUUGACGGGGGCCCGCACAAGCGGCGGAGCAUGUGGAUUAAUUCGAUGCAACGCGAAGAACCUUACCUGGGUUUGACAUAUACCGGAAGCCGUAGAGAUACGGCCCCCUUGUGUCGGUAUACAGGUGGUGCAUGCUGUCGUCAGCUCGUGUCGUGAGAUGUGGGUAGUCCCGCAACGAGCGCACCCUGUCUAUGUGCAGCACGUAUGUGGACUCGUAGAACUGCGGUCAACUCGGAGGAAGUGGGACGACGUCAGUCAUCAUGCCCCUAAUGUCAG